CACCAGGUAUUCCCACCCACCAGAAGCUGGCUGUUGUACUCACCCGGAACCAUGGUGCACCACCACAGCGGCGAGGUCAUACAGGCAGCUCUCCGGGCCACUGUUCUCAGGCUACAGAACAAGGAAGAAGGCACAGUGGUCAAUGACAUCGGUAUCUUGAUGACCUCUACCCUCUCCAUGUGAUGACAAUCUUACCGAAGAGCCAUUUUUUCACCAUGCUAAAAAGGUAUACUACUGAGAAAGAAUCAAAUGAAAAGAAAAAAGACUCAACAAGACCUCACUCGUAUUAACUGGACUCUACAAGCAGUGAGCAUCCAGACCUGCAUUCGGUUACAAAAGAAGCCUUCAAGCUAUUUUCAUCAGCUUCCUAAUCAAGUUAAAGAAUAAACCACAAAACUGAGUGUCCA
This 407-nucleotide non-coding RNA is filed under the name Pongo abelii (Sumatran orangutan). The record is from RNAcentral. Lineage: Eukaryota; Metazoa; Chordata; Mammalia; Primates; Hominidae.